This is a long non-coding RNA of Tripterygium wilfordii, 473 nucleotides long. RefSeq lists it as uncharacterized. Lineage: Eukaryota; Viridiplantae; Streptophyta; Magnoliopsida; Celastrales; Celastraceae. The record is from RefSeq and is a predicted model, not a curated record. The transcript has 2 exons.
CAUAUCCAUUGAUAUGUUAUUUAUGUCCACACACAAGUAACCCAGUAAGCUUGCCUAACAAUCAAAAUGGUUAUCUCCAGGACCCCUCAAGCCAUCGCAGCGCUACUCCUCCUACUUCUCAUCACCUCCUCCGAGGUUGCCACUGCCACCACCACCGCCGCCAAAGCAUUUCCAGCAAUUACACUUGGACGGAGAGCUCUUUACAUACCCGAGGGAAUUAGAAGGAUACUUCAAGGAAAUGGUUAUCCUCCAACAUAUGGAGAUUGGCCUGGUACAGGAGGUUGAUUCACCAGCCCCUACCUGGCUCUGCCUUAUUCAAUAUUCCAAACAAGCCCUCGACGAGCAUUUUAUGCACUUUUUAUGUAUUGAAUAAGAAUAUUGAAGGGAAAGAGUCCUAUGUAUAAUUAAUUACACAUCAAUGUUGUUAUUUUCUGCAUAAAUAUAUACUAGCUAUUAUUCGCAACAGGAAUAAA